Molecule: long non-coding RNA, 1891 nt
Organism: Zonotrichia leucophrys gambelii
Lineage: Eukaryota; Metazoa; Chordata; Aves; Passeriformes; Passerellidae
Exons: 3
Source: RefSeq, a predicted model, not a curated record
AGCACACCUUUGGGUUUGUUUUCAUCUGAAAGAGGCUGGUUUGUGUGCUCUGAGAUGGGGGUCUUGUGGAAGUCACAGCAUGUAAAGGAGAAAUGGUUGGGAGAUUUAAAAAUGCAUUUCUGACCAUCAGUGCUGAUGGAGGUGCCUUUGCUGCUUGCUGAUAUACCUGCUUCAGCUGCUCUAAAGUGAGACUGGAUUCCUGGGGCUUCCCUGUGUUCUGGGUUAAAAGGAAGGAAUAUUUAUUUGAAGCAAGAUUGAAAGCAAGGGCAGAGGCCUAAUUUUUGUAUUUGUGGCAACCACCAAUGCUGGAAGAAGUGCAGGAAGGAUCAGAGCUGAGAAGAAUGGUUGUGAGGAUCAUCAGGAAGACCUGUAAGCUGUUUCCUGACAGGAGAUUGAGAGAGAAGAGAAAAUGAGCUGUUAACAAGAAUGCUGCCUGCUGUCUGAAUUGCCCUAAUUCAUGAAGGGACAUAAAGCUCAGACAAAAGAUUUAUGGUGCCUUAACCCUGGGAAUGACUCAGUUGUUUAACAGCAUGUUUGUGCUCACACAAGCAUGGGAUCUGGGCUGAAGCAGAGCAUCCACUGGAGCACUGCCAUGGAUGGACAGGGGCUCUUCAGGAAGGACCAUCCAGGGGGAUGGAGGGAGUUCUGUCUGAGGGCAGCAAGGAUGCACAGAGCUCUGCCCUGGCAGGGAUGAUGGGACAGCUGAGAACUUGCCAGUUCAGAUCAGCAGGAGUAAUAAUGUGGGUGUUUUGAGCAGGGUGCCUGCUACUGCCAGCCUGCCCAGGAAGAGCAGAUGAGCCCUUCUGCAGACAGCUGGGAGAAGUCUCCUAUCUGCAAGCCCUGGUCCUCACAGGGGCCUCCAGCCACCCGGACACCUGCUGGAAACAGCACAGCACAGCACAAGGGGUCUGGGACGUUCCUGCACCACAGGGAUGGUGAAUUCCUGACAUGGGCGCUGGAAGAGCCAACAAAGUGAGACACGCUGACAGACCUUAUACUCACCAACAUGAAGGUUGUGGGCAGGCUUGGCUUCAGCGACCAUGAGCUGUGGAAUUCAGGGUCCUGAGAGGUGGGAGAAGAGCCAAGAUUAGUAUCACAUAUUAGUAUCUCAACCUCAGAACAGCUUUUGUCUUUUUCAAAAUCCUAUUUGGAAGAAUCCCAUGGGACGUGGCCCGGAACAGAUGAGCAGCCCCUGAAGGCUGGCUGAUUUUCAAGAUCACCUCUUCCAAGCUUGUGAAUGGUCCAGCCUGACAAGCAGGAAAGCAAGCAAAAGUGGUGGAAGGGCUUAAUGGAUAAACAAGAACAGCAAAGAAGCUUUAUCCCCACUGAAGGAGUGGGGCAGAGAACAACUAAGCAAACUGUGCAUGCACAAAUCCUUGGGUCUGAAGGAAUUUGAAGGAAUCUCCCUAUAGAUAGAAGAUUCUGUGCUCUGAGCAGCCCUUUCACCUUUUGUGACAUGUGAAUUUAGUUUUUUCCUUCUGAAAAGAAAAAUCCACUGAAAGCUGAUUUACUUUUCUCAGUAUAACCCCUUCUCUAACCUUGCAAACACAUUUCAUAGCUGCAAGGUGAUAAUAAAACUGUUCAGAGCUGAGCUUAAAACAAAUACAAAUCUGGGCAAGAAAUAUAAAUAAUAAUUGUAAACAAUUGAAUACAUCAAGUAAUCUAAAGCCAAAGUAAAUAGUUUAUGAAAUGUACAUAGUUAACUACUAUCUAAUAAACCUAUUAGCAAGAAUAAACCACAAACAGUAAAAAAGGACAAUAAAUGAGUAUCUCCUCAAUAAUAAUUUGACUGGCCCUACAUUGCAACAUUUCUUAGGGCCACACUGAUGUAUUCAUAAAAUAAACAUUAUAAUUACAAAAUAUGAUUAUUUAAAAGACUCCUGAAACUGUA